RNAcentral lists this ribosomal RNA (2902 nucleotides) under Peptacetobacter hiranonis. RNAcentral describes it as "23S ribosomal RNA". It matches the Rfam family "Bacterial large subunit ribosomal RNA". The record is from RNAcentral. Lineage: Bacteria; Bacillati; Bacillota; Clostridia; Peptostreptococcales; Peptostreptococcaceae.
GGUCAAGUUAUUAAGGGUGCAGGGCGGAUGCCUUGGCACCGGGAGCCGAUGAAGGACGUGAUAAGCUGCGAUAAGCUAUGGGGAGUUGCACGUAAACUUUGAUCCAUAGAUUUCCGAAUGAGGAAACUCACCAUGAGUAAUGUCAUGGUAUCUUCGAGUGAAUACAUAGCUCGUUGAGGGGAACUCGGGGAACUGAAACAUCUAAGUACCCGAAGGAAGAGAAAGAAAUUCGAUUCCGCUAGUAGCGGCGAGCGAACGCGGAACAGCCCAAACCUAAGAAGUUCGCUUCUUAGGGGUUGCGGACAUAUCAUCAGGAAGAGGUUAUUACAGACGAAGAGUUUUGGAAAGCUCCGCCACAGAAGGUAACAGCCCUGUAGUCGAAGUGAGAAGACUUCCGAUAUGAUCCAGAGUACCACGGGACACGUGAAACCCCGUGGGAAGCAGGAGGGACCACCCUCCAAGGCUAAAUACUACCCGGUGACCGAUAGCGCAUAGUACCGUGAGGGAAAGGUGAAAAGAACCCCGGGAGGGGAGUGAAAUAGAACCUGAAACCCUGUACUUACAAACUGUGGAAGCACAUUUCUUGUGUGACCGCGUACUUUUUGUAGAACGGGCCAACGAGUUACGUUAUGCAGCAAGGUUAAGUACUUCAAGUAUGCAGCCGCAGCGAAAGCGAGUUUUAACUGAGCGUUUAGUUGCAUGACGUAGACCCGAAACCGGGUGACCUAUCCAUGAGCAGGUUGAAGCGAAAGUAAAAUUUCGUGGAGGACCGAACCCACGAGCGUUGAAAAGCUCGGGGAUGACUUGUGGAUAGCGGUGAAAUUCCAAUCGAACCCGGAGAUAGCUGGUUCUCCCCGAAAUAGCUUUAGGGCUAGCCUCAGAUUCAGAGAUACGGAGGUAGAGCACUGAAUGUCCUAGGGGGUAUUGCACCUACCGAAGACUAUCAAACUCCGAAUGCCGUCAUCUUUUAUCUGGGAGUCAGACCGUGGGUGAUAAGAUUCACGGUCGAGAGGGCAACAGCCCAGACCGUCGGCUAAGGUCCCCAAAUGUAGGUUAAGUGGUAAAGGAUGUGGGAUUGCACAGACAACCAGGAUGUUGGCUUAGAAGCAGCCACUCAUUCAAAGAGUGCGUAAUAGCUCACUGGUCGAGUGAUCCUGCGCCGAAGAUUUCCGGGGCUAAAACCUACUACCGAAGCCACGGCAUCAUUUAUGAUGGGUAGGGGAGCUUUCUUUACUGGGCAGAAGCAUGACCGUAAGGACAUGUGGACUGUAAAGAAGUGAGAAUGUUGGCAUGAGUAGCGAGAUGUGGGUGAGAAUCCCACAGGCCGUAAACCCAAGGUUUCCAGGGGAAGGUUCGUCCUCCCUGGGUUAGUCGGGACCUAAGCCGAGGCCGAAAGGCGUAGGUGAUGGACAACAGGUUGAAAUUCCUGUACCGCCAAUAAGCGUUUGAGAAAUGGGAUGACACAGUAGGACAGGAUGAGCGUGCUGUUGGUUAUGCACGUCCAAGCACUGAGGCAGUAUCCGGAGGCAAAUCCACGGAUAUAAUGCUGGGGUGUGACGGGGAGCGAAAUUUAGUAGCGAAGCAUCUGCAUUCACACUGUCGAGAAAAGUCUCUAUCGAGUUUAAAGGCGCCCGUACCGCAAACCGACACAGGUGGGUGAGGAGAGUAUCCUAAGGCCAGCGAGAGAACUGUUGUUAAGGAACUCGGCAAAAUGACCCCGUAACUUAGGGAUAAGGGGUGCCAUCGAAAGAUGGCCGCAGAGAAUAGGCCCAAGCGACUGUUUACCAAAAACAUAGGUUUCUGCUAAGUCGCAAGACGAUGUAUAGGAGCUGACGCCUGCCCGGUGCUGGAAGGUUAAGGGGAUCUGUUAGAGCAAUCGAAGCAGUGAACUUAAGCCCCAGUAAACGGCGGCCGUAACUAUAACGGUCCUAAGGUAGCGAAAUUCCUUGUCGGGUAAGUUCCGACCCGCACGAAAGGCGUAACGAUUUGGGCACUGUCUCAACAACAGACUCGGUGAAAUUGUAAUUCCGGUGAAGAUGCCGGAUACCUGCGACAGGACGGAAAGACCCCAUGGAGCUUUACUGUAGCUUGGCAUUGGGUCUUGGUACUACAUGUACAGCAUAGGUGGGAGGCUUUGAUUCCAGGACGCCAGUUUUGGAUGAGCCACCGUUGGGAUACCACCCCUGUAGUACUGGGACUCUAACCAGAGGCCUUGAAUCAGGUCUUGGGACACUGUCAGGCGGGCAGUUUGACUGGGGCGGUCGCCUCCCAAAAGGUAACGGAGGCGCUCAAAGGUUCUCUCAGCACGGUCGGAAAUCGUGCAUAGAGUGUAAAGGCAUAAGAGAGCUUGAUUGCAAGACAUACAGGUCGAGCAAGGACGAAAGUCGGACUUAGUGAUCCGGUGGUUCUGAGUGGAAGGGCCAUCGCUCAACGGAUAAAAGCUACCCUGGGGAUAACAGGCUUAUCUCCCCCAAGAGUCCACAUCGACGGGGAGGUUUGGCACCUCGAUGUCGGCUCAUCACAUCCUGGGGCUGUAGUAGGUCCCAAGGGUUGGGCUGUUCGCCCAUUAAAGUGGUACGCGAGCUGGGUUCAGAACGUCGUGAGACAGUUCGGUCCCUAUCCGUCGCAGGCGUAGGAAAUUUGAGAGGAUCUGCCCUUAGUACGAGAGGACCGGGGUGGACGUACCGCUGGUGUACCAGUUGUCUCGCCAGAGGCAUGGCUGGGUAGCUAUGUACGGAACGGAUAAGCGCUGAAAGCAUCUAAGCGCGAAGCCAGCCUUAAGAUAAGAUUUCCCAUUCUUUGGAAGUAAGACCCCAUGAAGACUACGUGGUUGAUAGGUCGGAGGUGGAAGUGCAGUAAUGUAUGUAGCUUACCGAUACUAAUAGGUCGAGGACUUGACCAA